GCUGCGGGGCUGCAAUGGCGGCCUGAAGGACGUCGAGAAGCUAGCAAUAUCAAGGGCGGCCACGGGUUCGCCGGAGCAUCCCAAGAAGCGCAAGAGAGGCACCGGUGGGCGGUGCGAGGGCGCAACUGCGUCUUCGACGAGGAGGAGCGACUGGAGGGUGGAGGCCGUCAUGCUGGCUCUGCGCCACGUGCGCUCCGAGGAGGUCGACCCCGACGACCCCGGCGCGCCGUACUCGAAGGUGAGAGUUCUUUCCACUCGCCGCGGUUUUUUUUUUCCUUCGACGCGUUCGAGUUCUUGGGAUUUGCGUAGAAGAGGAUCGCCUGGUGAUUAAUCGGUUUCGCAUCAAAGAUUGGCGGUGUUUUAGGUUCACCUCAAGAAAGGUUCGCGGCGCUUAGAAUGGGGAAUUUCGCCAUUGCAGUAUCUCUGACUUGCCACCAUUGCAUGCUCCUGUGUUGUUAGGACUCAGGACGCAGAAUUAAUAGCUGUCUCUAUACUCCUAUGCGUCUAGCUUCGUAAAGCUGUAUCUUCAGUGCGAGAUUUGCGGUUGUUUGGAACUUUGGAUGGAAAUUGGUUAGUCCGCAUCUUCCAUUUCUUGUGUCAGAUUGGUUAGUCUGCGUUUUCCAUUUCUUGUGUCAGAUUCUGUGUCUGAAUAGGACACGGCAUUGCUAGCAGGGCCAAAGAUUCGUCUAGUUAAUGUUGGAAUUAGAGUGCCUCUUACCAUUUAUACUUGUUAAUUCUGUUAAUGUUUGAUCUGAUUGAGGCUGAUUCUUGGGGCUUGCUUAUAAUGAUCGAAUGGAGUGUGCUGUUAUUAAUUUUCCAUGUUAUUAUGAUGGAAUCUUCAUGGUUCUCAUGUCAAGAUUAUGUUACAAUGAUGUGAGUUGUUUUUAUCAGAUGAAGUUGAGUGGAGGCUGUGGUGAUUAGUGUCUGUUAAGGAUAGUGUUAAAUUGUAGCCAUGUGUUAUCAACUUCUGCACUUGUGCCCUGUCAUUAAUGCUGUUUCACCGUUACCUUGGUUGAGAUUUCUAUUGGUGUCGUUAAUGUUAUUUCGCUAUUUCCUUGAUUGAGAUUUCUGAUCGCGUCACAUGAUAAUAUGAUAAUGAUUCAUUGUUAGUUUUAUUGCCACCCUCAUUGCCAAUGUUGCAAUUGGACAGGAUAUAUAGUGACAUUGUAGGAGGAAAAGCUUGUGCUUAGUUAUGUUAUGGCAGGAUUUCAUUGGUUAUGUAGAAACAUUGUUCCUUUAUGGUUUAUUUCUAUCGUUUAUCUUGUGUCUUUAUCAGAUGUUUAUGUAAUUAUGAACACAAAGAAUACAAAGGGCCGUGGCUGCGUGGGAAAUUAUAUUAUCUUCUGUUAACUCUAUUCUUAUCUCAGUCAAAUUUUGUUGUAGUCAGUUUAGCAGAAUUAUUAGGAAUUUGGCAGGUCAAUGUGCACACAUUCAUUCUGACAUUAGCAAUACAUGCAUAAAAAACAGAUGAUUCAACACAAGGCAAUUGCUUGCCUACCCCCCUUUUAGAUGUUAGUUCAUAAGAAUUUAUUUAUGGUUAUGCUUCAGGAAAUAAGGUAUCAUAGCUGUGGACAUGCGCUCGUAAGGUCAUGCAGGGGUAGAUUGAUCGUUAGGUGCUAAAUUGUCAUAAACAGUUGUAUCAUGGAUCUGAUUUCCCAGUUCUGCUGACUGGUUGGUAGAAUUUGUGUGUGAAUUUUUAUCAUUAGACUGAAACAUUUUGUGCUCAUCUUUGCUGUCAAAGAAAAUGAUACAAUGCCAGUCCUGCUGCCGAGCGCAGUCUUGAUAAAUAGCUGUUGUUAUCACUGCUUGGUACCUUCCUUUUCUCAUCUAUGAGAUGUAUCAUUUGCGAGCAGGAGUUUUGCUCAAGUUGUAUCUAAUACACUUCUGCAUGCUAACAGAAAUAGAAAAGACUUCACCAACUAGUCGCAUUGAGUUCAGCUGAUGAAGGUAACAAAUGAUGACAACAAUGAGCACCACUCUAAGGAGUAAGGGCUCAGGAACUUCUUCCCAAAGGUAGCAAUAUCACGUGAUCCUUUGAAAACUAUGUUACCAUUUUCGCAGUUUUUUUUUACUAAAGAGCAAGCGACCUUAAUGUAUGAUUUGGGUGUAUAUCAACCGUGUUCAUUGGGUUUUCCAUAAUGAUAGUUCUGUAUUUUGCACCUGUAAAUUUUCAAACAGAGAUGGUUCCCUUGCAAAUGGUUACUAUAUUAGAAGCUGUCAGAGGGUCCUUGUCAAUUAAAUAUAGUUCCCUGAAAAACAAAAAAAUGGCUUUAUAACUGGAUGAAAUCAGGCUAUUGCUUUCUAUAAUGCUAAACCCACAUCAUACUACAGUUGAUACUUAUAAAGCAGAAUGAGAAGUUCAAAUUUGUCUGUUAAUCCCCUCAAAACUAAGUUACAAUUCAACAGUUCGCUACCUGUCUUGGAAAAUUGCUUCGGUAGUUUAUGAAUCCUGUCUGUGUGCAUAAAGAUUGGUUGGUAUGGUGUGACAGUUUUUUAACUGCAAGUCGAGUAUGUCUUUGAUCUUUGCUAGUGUGAUAAUUUCGUUCAGCUUUCUUUGACAGGUCCAGGAAGAAGGAGAAUUGACAGCUUUCUGCGGAGGUAGAGGAAGAAAUACCUUAAUUGCCCGGACAACCGUUCAGUUCAUUCUUUUUGCUGGUUACAUAUCUGACUGUACAGCUGGAGUAGAAAAAACUUUCACUAUUGCACCGUUUAAAAGUGAAUGAUUCUUAGGUAUCGUACUGAAAUCAGGUAGCAGUGAGUAAUUGCUGG
This 2769-nucleotide long non-coding RNA is filed under the name Setaria italica (foxtail millet). RNAcentral's name for it is "long non-coding RNA (SITA_LNC006390)". The record is from RNAcentral. Lineage: Eukaryota; Viridiplantae; Streptophyta; Magnoliopsida; Poales; Poaceae.